UUUAUCGAGUGGUUGCUCUGAAUUUCAGAGAGGAAAGUCCGAGCACCGCAGGACAAGGUGCCUCCUAACAGGAGGAAUCCACAAGGAUAUGGAAAGUGCAACAGAAAGUAAACCGCUAAUGGAUUUGCUAACGCAAAUCACAAGUAAGGCUGAAAGGGUGGUGUAAGAGACCACCAGUCUCACGGGCGACCGUGAGAGCUUGUAAACCCCACCUGGUGCAAGAUCGAAUAAGCUUCCAGAUGUUGUUCGCAUCAUUAUGAGAAGCGGGUAGUUCGCUUGAGGCGAUUGGUGACGAUUGUCCCAGAUGAAUGACCACUGACCCCUGAUUUAUCAGUGGGAGACAGGACUCGGCUUAUAGAUUUUCUC
Molecule: RNase P RNA, 366 nt
Filed under: marine eukaryotic metagenome
Description: Bacterial RNase P class A
Rfam family: Bacterial RNase P class A
About the family: Ribonuclease P (RNase P) is a ubiquitous endoribonuclease, found in archaea, bacteria and eukarya as well as chloroplasts and mitochondria.
Source: RNAcentral